GAUGAACGCUGGCGGCGCGCCUAACACAUGCAAGUCGAACGGCACCCCUCCUCGGAGGGAAGCGAGUGGCGAACGGCUGAGUAACACGUGGAGAACCUGCCCCCUCCCCCGGGAUAGCCGCCCGAAAGGACGGGUAAUACCGGAUACCCCGGGGUGCCGCAUGGCACCCCGGCUAAAGCCCCGACGGGAGGGGAUGGCUCCGCGGCCCAUCAGGUAGACGGCGGGGUGACGGCCCACCGUGCCGACAACGGGUAGCCGGGUUGAGAGACCGACCGGCCAGAGGGGGAGUGGGACACGGCCCAGACUCCUACGGGGGGGAGGAGGGGGGAAUCUUGCGCAGGGGGGGGAACCCUGACGCAGCGACGGCGGGGGGGGGAGGGAGGCCUUGGGGUCGUAAACCGCUUUAAGAAGGGAAGGGUAAAGACUGUACCGGCAAAAGAAGCCCCGGCAAACUACGG
Molecule: ribosomal RNA, 458 nt
Filed under: uncultured bacterium
Lineage: Bacteria
Description: partial 16S ribosomal RNA
Rfam family: Bacterial small subunit ribosomal RNA
Source: RNAcentral